This is a long non-coding RNA of Carassius carassius (crucian carp), 883 nucleotides long. RefSeq lists it as uncharacterized. The record is from RefSeq and is a predicted model, not a curated record. NCBI's taxonomy places the organism in Eukaryota, Metazoa, Chordata, Actinopteri, Cypriniformes, Cyprinidae. The transcript is spliced from 3 exons.
CCGGAACAGAAGAGGGCGGUAUUGCACCAAUAAGCUGGAUGCCAACCGCCGUUAAACUGGAAAGAAGACGAAAAUGAUAGCUUGCUGUGAGAGACAACGGGACAGAUGAGACACGUGUGUUUAUCUGCUGUAGAGUAACUGAUGAAGGAAUGCUGCCAUCAAAGGAUUUGUAUCUUUUGUGGUGCAGCAGGACCUGCAAGAAAAGGUGAAAAAGAGGGAAAACCUGAAACAAAAGAAUAAUGUAAUGACUUUUUGUAUUGUGUAUGUGUAUUUUUGUAGGGCAUGACAAUGUCUGUAGACUGGUGUGUGCACUGAGGAUGGAGAAGACCACAGCAUCAUCCUGGAAAUGAUCGAGAGUCACAGAUGAGACGCUCCCUCACUCCAGCUCUUACUGUCUCAUCAGGACCAGAUGCUGCUGUGGUGUCUUCAUCCUCAGUGACCCCAGAGCAGCGAGAGCUUCUAGAGAAAGACCACAAGACACUGAGGAUGUGAUUUUGGUAAGGUUUGUUCAGCUGGUUAAUGUUUAAACAAUGAAGGCUGACUUUCAGAAGCUUCAAAAGCAUCAUCAAAAAAUGUGAUGGAGCUUUUAUCUAAAGUGAUUGACAGUGCUCUUAUUACAGGGGCCUACAAUCCUCUGAUCAACCUGGAGAAAAGAGCCGUGCUCAAGGACACACUGGUGUUCCUGUGGCUCAAGUGGUAGAGCAUUACGUUAGCAGCGCAAGGUUGUGGGUUCGAAUACCAGGGAACACAUGUUAGGUAAAAACUGUUAUGCACUUUAAGUCACUUUGGAUAAAUGUAUAAUUUAUUUAUAAAUUUGAACCACUUCAGUGGUUUAGCCCACUACAAAAAUAAUAAAUUAAUGCAUGUACUUGUAAACUCUGUG